CGCGGGGUAGAGCAGCCCGGUAGCUCGUCAGGCUCAUAACCUGGAGGUCGUUGGUUCAAAUCCAGCCCCCGUAACCA
RNAcentral lists this transfer RNA (77 nucleotides) under Verrucomicrobiales bacterium. RNAcentral describes it as "tRNA-Met". It matches the Rfam family "tRNA". From Rfam's summary of the family: Transfer RNA (tRNA) molecules are approximately 80 nucleotides in length. Their secondary structure includes four short double-helical elements and three loops (D, anti-codon, and T loops). Lineage: Bacteria; Pseudomonadati; Verrucomicrobiota; Verrucomicrobiia; Verrucomicrobiales. The record is from RNAcentral.